GAUGAGCGCUGGCGGCGUGCCUAAUACAUGCAAGUCGAGCGAACGGACGAGAAGCUUGCUUCUCUGAUGUUAGCGGCGGACGGGUGAGUAACACGUGGAUAACCUACCUAUAAGACUGGGAUAACUUCGGGAAACCGGAGCUAAUACCGGAUGAUAUUUUGAACCGCAUGGUUCAAAAGUGAAAGACGGUCUUGCUGUCACUUAUAGAUGGGUCCGCGCUGCAUUAGCUAGUUGGUAAGGUAACGGCUUACCAAGGCAACGAUGCAUAGCCGACCUGAGAGGGUGAUCGGCCACACUGGAACUGAGACACGGUCCAGACUCCUACGGGAGGCAGCAGUAGGGAAUCUUCCGCAAUGGGCGAAAGCCUGACGGAGCAACGCCGCGUGAGUGAUGAAGGUCUUCGGAUCGUAAAACUCUGUUAUUAGGGAAGAACAUAUGUGUAAGUAACUGUGCACAUCUUGACGGUACCUAAUCAGAAAGCCACGGCUAACUACGUG
Molecule: ribosomal RNA, 497 nt
Filed under: uncultured bacterium
Lineage: Bacteria
Description: partial 16S ribosomal RNA
Rfam family: Bacterial small subunit ribosomal RNA
Source: RNAcentral